GCUGCCCCCCAGCAAGGAGCCACCGCACAGCCAAAGGAGGCCGAUUGUCCAUGGCAGUGUCCCCCGUGUGCCACAGAGCUCUGGGGACCGUCAGAGCAGCAGUUUCAAACUGCCCCCCAUUCAGGAUUCUCUCCGGAACAAGGCAUUUCUGCAGGGACUCGUCACCCUUCCCAACAAGCCCAGAGUGAGCCAGCUGCUGGGCAGGGAUGGACACAUCCCGAGGGGCUGCAAUG
This is a non-coding RNA of Taeniopygia guttata (zebra finch), 233 nucleotides long. Lineage: Eukaryota; Metazoa; Chordata; Aves; Passeriformes; Estrildidae. The record is from RefSeq and is a predicted model, not a curated record.